GUGGGUGGAAGCUCAUCGUAGAGGUCACAUGCAGAGUGCUAGUCACUUAAUGAAUCACCUUGGGGAAGGUCUGAGACAGGAGCCAAUGACUGCCCUAGCAGGGCAUCACCCUCUCUGGGUGAAUGAGUGCACAGAGAAUAUUGGCUGUUGUGAGCUGUCUUCACAGGAGAAGAGUGCUAAUCACUUAACCAACCACCUUGGGGAAGGUCUGAGACAGGAGCCAAUGACUGCCUCUAGCAGGGCAUCACCCUCUCUGGGUGAAUGCGUGCACAGAGAAUAUUGGCUGUUGUGAGCUGUCUUCACAGGAGAAACCAGCCAGUGUAGCUCUCCAGCACUUCUGGUGGAUGUGCACAGAGAAUAUUGGCUGUCUUGAGCUGUCUUCACAGGAGAAACCAGCCAGUGUAGCUCUCCAGCACUUCUGGUGGAUGUGCACAGAGAAUAUUGGCUGUUGUGAGCUGUCUUCACAGGAGAAACCAGCCAGUGUAGCUCUACAGCACUUCUGGUGGAUGUGACUUCACUGGUUUGGAAUCACUCAUGGCUGGCAAAUGAGUGCAAUGUGUGAGUUGGAGUAUACCUCCAGAACCCAAUUCAGACUACUCUCUGCCCAC
RNAcentral lists this RNase P RNA (608 nucleotides) under Salmo trutta (river trout). RNAcentral describes it as "Nuclear RNase P (ENSSTUG00000002861.1)". It matches the Rfam family "Nuclear RNase P". Rfam says of the family: Ribonuclease P (RNase P) is a ubiquitous endoribonuclease, found in archaea, bacteria and eukarya as well as chloroplasts and mitochondria. Its best characterised activity is the generation of mature 5'-ends of tRNAs by cleaving the 5'-leader elements of precursor-tRNAs. The record is from Rfam by way of RNAcentral. Lineage: Eukaryota; Metazoa; Chordata; Actinopteri; Salmoniformes; Salmonidae.